UUGGAGGGCAAGUCUGGUGCCAGCAGCCGCGGUAAUUCCAGCUCCAAUAGCGUAUAUUAAAGUUGUUGCAGUUAAAAAGCUCAUAGUUGAAUUUCGGGGUUAGUAGGUUGGUCAUGCCUCUGGUAUGUACUGGUCUCACUGAUUCCUCCUUCCUGAUGAAUCUUAAUGCCAUUAAUUUGGUGUUUUGGGGAAUUUGGACUGUUACUUUGAAAAAAUUAGAGUGUUUGAAGCAAGCUAACGCUUGAAUACAUUAGCAUGGAAUAAUGAAAUAGGACGUUCGAUCCUAUUUUGUUGGUUUCUAGGAUUGACGUAAUGAUUAAUAGGGAUAGUUGGGGGCAUUAGUAUUCAAUUGUCAGAGGUGAAAUUCUUGGAUUUAUUGAAGACUAACUACUGCGAAAGCAUUUGCCAAGGAUGUUUUCAUUAAUCAAGAACGAAAGUUAGGGGAUCGAAGACGAUCAGAUACCGUCGUAGUCUUAACCAUAAACUAUGCCGACUAGGGAUCGGAUGAUGUUAAUUUUUUAAUGACUCAUUCGGCGCCUUACGGGAAACCAAAGUGUUUGGGUUC
Molecule: ribosomal RNA, 565 nt
Filed under: uncultured Glomeromycotina
Lineage: Eukaryota; Fungi; Glomeromycota
Description: SSU rRNA
Rfam family: Eukaryotic small subunit ribosomal RNA
Source: RNAcentral